Ribosomal RNA from Pteropus vampyrus (large flying fox), 119 nucleotides. The record is from Ensembl. NCBI's taxonomy places the organism in Eukaryota, Metazoa, Chordata, Mammalia, Chiroptera, Pteropodidae.
GUCUAUGGUCAUGCCACCUUAAACAAGCCCGAUCCCAUCUGAUCUCUGAAGCUAAGCAGGGUCAGGUCUGGUUAGUACUUGGAUGAGUGACCGCCUAGGAAGACCAGGUGCUAUAGGCA